Molecule: long non-coding RNA, 653 nt
Filed under: Fragaria vesca (wild strawberry)
Lineage: Eukaryota; Viridiplantae; Streptophyta; Magnoliopsida; Rosales; Rosaceae
Description: long non-coding RNA (FVES_LNC000083)
Source: RNAcentral
UUGAAUUAGUCGCAAACACAUGAUGUUGUAAGAUAAAAUUAGAAGUUUAGAAAAUAGAAAUGCAGGCAAAUACGUUUUACAUCAUGUUUCUGAAAAUAAAGUACUUGAACCAAUCCCAUUAAUUCCUAUUUCUUGAACGAAUCCCAUUAAUUCCUAAUUCUGUCUCCCUUUGCUGCUCCCCUUAACUCUCCCACAUCCCAUCGGAAUAGCACACCUUACAUGUCUUAUCCACACACAAACUGCACAAACAAAAAAUUUCGUCAGUGUUUCCUUCCAAUUUUUUAUUUUAUUUUUUUAUUUCAAUUCUACCUGAAACGUGAUCUGUUCACUUUGUUCAGCCGAUCCAUCAUGUCGUUGUGAGUAAUACAGUAGUUGAAGAUGAAUAAGGAUAACUCUGGGAAAGUACAACUGAUUGCGCGCUCGAUCUCUUCAAAUGUAAGCGUGUCUCUAUUAUUGCAAUCCUGGUUGCAGUGGGUAAUGAAGUUCUUUGCCAACUCUAACAUUCCUAAGCCAUUGUCUUCAUAUGUUUUCUUUUCAUCCUCUCUCUUUUUGAUCACCCUUUUGAAGGCAUUUCUCAUUCUCACCGGCAAACAAUCGAUUCUAUCUUUUAUCUUAUCAUGUCUGUGAGCAUUAGCACAAGAUGCCUUGAAACU